This 253-nucleotide ribosomal RNA is filed under the name uncultured bacterium. RNAcentral describes it as "partial 16S ribosomal RNA". It matches the Rfam family "Bacterial small subunit ribosomal RNA", at positions 524 to 776 of the family's 1533-position model. The record is from RNAcentral.
UACGUAGGUGGCAAGCGUUGUCCGGAUUUACUGGGCGUAAAGAGCGCGUAGGCGGAAGGUGAAGCGUGGCCUGAAAGCCCCCGGCUCAACCGGGGAGGGCGGCUGCGAACUGGCCUUCUUGAGGGCGAUAGAGGGGGGCGGAAUUCCUGGUGUAGCGGUGAAAUGCGUAGAGAUCAGGAGGAACACCCGUGGCGAAGGCGGCCCCCUGGGUCGGCCCUGACGCUGAGGCGCGAAAGCGUGGGGAGCGAACGGG